AUUUGUUUGGAUAUGACUUAGAAUUAUCUGGACAUGUUAGGAUUUGGUUUGCAAACGAUGAGCGACUAUGCUAUUCUGUAGGGAAUAGUAUUUCUACGUGACAUUUUCUGGUUCAGCGAAGUGGAAAGCGUGACUUAUGACAUAUGAGCCAGAAGCUGCAAAACUAUCGCCCGCCGCUGCGAGCAGGGUUCGAACCUGCGCGGGGAAACCCCAUUGGAUUUCAAGUCCAACGCCUUAACCACUCGGCCAUCGCAGCUACACCAUAUAUGGCUUUCAGGGGGCGGGAAAGCCUAUUCCAAAUGGAUUUUCAGACAAAAGCCUUGUACAGAAGAAUUUGAGUGUUGAGUGCCGAAUUCAUUGAAGGUCCACACUGGCCCACCCAAUCACGACGUUAACCCACCCCAAGAAUGGGCAAACGCCAACCAAUCAGAUUUUUUCAUUAGUCUAAAUAGGAAUGAAGCAAGCCAAUUAUUAAGGAAUAUUCUUUGUAUUCCAUAGACAUGAAUGUCAAAACUGACCAAGUUAGAUUUUGCAAGGACAGGAGGGGCACAUGACGUCAAAUCCGCUUAUUUUUAUGUUGUUCAGAGAUGUGUCACGUAAAGGCAUUUAAGAAUCAAUGGAUAUCCUUCACAUGUUUGUUAUAAAAUACUUUAUAACAAAAUAACUGCUACAUGUUGGUGCUUCAAUAAAGUAUUAGUUUACGGGUGUGCACACUUAUACAACCAGCUUAUUGUAUGUUUUUUUAAUUUUUUAAAAAUAUUUUUCCUUCUAACAGAUUUGUUUGUUUUUCAGUUGAAUUGUACAGGUUGUAUGUCACAUUGAAGCUUGGAAACCCUGGCUUUUUUUUACAAAGGUGUGUAUUUUUUUAGCCAUUGUAUGUUGUUCCUGUUAAUUUAUAAGUGUUAUAAAAUACAACCCUGAGCUAACCCUUUUAGCACAUUUAAUGAGCCAGUUAAUAUGAAUAAAAGCAUAAAUAUCCUAGUCCCAUAAGUAUCAGAAACCCUGUAAUGCAACUUCUUAGUCAACUGUGUUACAAUUUGCCGAGACAGCAUAUUAUCGGGCCAUUUUACUGAUAAAUUUGAACGUUUUUUCAUAUUUGUUAUAAAUAAUGGAAUAAAAACUCUGGAUAUUUCUUGAUCUAGAGGAUAAUUGUUUUGUUUUAAGACUCCCAUGAAUGCAGUCAGAUAAAGUCUUAAAUUCAGAGAUUUCUAGAGAGCAGAUAUAGACAGAAUAUCCCCAGUGAUACAGCAGGUGGCACCACACAGUAAGCUAUUCGUGCUCCUGAUUCAGGGAUAUGUGACAGAUCGAGGCACACCGCUAAUACUCACUCUCUCCUUUUCUUUACUCCAUCUGGAAAUGUAUUUGUAUAUUCAUUUUAAUGACUCCUCAUGUGUAGAUAUGAAACUAUAUGAAAAUUUAGUAUCAAGAUAAUAGUGAUCAAAAUGAUCACAUUAUCAAUAUUGUGGUAUUGUUAAAACAUGCUGAAAAUGUUCAAAAUGUACUGAUACACAAACUGAGAAGUUUUAUGCACGCUGCACUUUUUGUUUGCAUAAACAUUAAAAUAAUAACAUUGCCAGUACCUUAGGUAAACAUACGAAAACCAUGUCAAAUGUGCAUUAACAUUAAACAUUUCCGGAGCAUUGUGAUUGCCUUCUGCCAUGUUUUCACUGACACAUAACAAACCCAGGUUACAUGCUCAAUGUGCGCGCCUGUGUCUAAGAGACUGUUGCUAACUUUGGUUGAUGCUGGACGAUAUUUAAUGUAAAGUUUUCAAAGCGUGGUAAUGAACCAUGGUUUUAAGGAUAAUUAAAAUUUGAAAUAGUAAUACUAACCGUCAGUAACCAUUUCAUCCCAGUUUAUAUCAUGGUCCUAUUAUUGUCAUGUCCCCGUUUGGCCAGCAGAGGUUGCUGGCCAUCCUGUAAUCACCUAGUUGUUCUCAGCUUAAUGUGAUGAUCACCCACACCUGCCUUUUGUUAGUCCCUCUUUAUCUGUGUAUAUAUGUGCCUGCUCUCUCUGUGUUCCCCAGCUCGAUCAUUGUUGCUCUUAUGGAUGUUUAGUGUUCUCUCUGCUUCUUGUGUUUCCUGUUCCUGCAGUGAUCCCUGUGGGCUGCUUCACACUGCUUCUGCCUCAUUGUUCCUUUCUGCUCUCUGUUUAGAACCCUCACGGUUCUUUGUUUUCUGGUUCUCUGUAUAUCUUCCCAAUAAAGCCCAUUUCUGCUCAGCCUAAAGCUGCAUCUGGGUUGUGCUUUCUCCGACAGACAUGAUAAUUAUGCUCUUAGCAGUGGCGUCAUGAUCUGUCUCCGUCAUCACCGUUCUGCUCCUGUUUGACCAGCAGAUGUCACUGCUGGCUGUGCCCUUUCUUUGGCAUUUAUUCCAGCAGUUUAUCAUGCCUUAUUAUGCGUUUAUUGUUAUUUCCCAUACCUGCCUCUCAGGU
Molecule: long non-coding RNA, 2433 nt
Organism: Paramormyrops kingsleyae
Lineage: Eukaryota; Metazoa; Chordata; Actinopteri; Osteoglossiformes; Mormyridae
Source: RefSeq, a predicted model, not a curated record